AUUGAACGCUGGCGGCAGGCCUAACACAUGCAAGUCGAACGAGUGGCGGACGGGUGAGUAAUGUCUGGGAAACUGCCUGAUGGAGGGGGAUAACUACUGGAAACGGUAGCUAAUACCGCAUACCAUCGGAUGUGCCCAGAUGGGAUUAGCUAGUAGGUGGGGUAACGGCUCACCUAGGCGACGAUCCCUAGCUGGUCUGAGAGGAUGACCGGCCACGCGGGAACGUAAACACGGGCCAGCUCCCAACGGGGGGCAGCGGUGGGAAGUAUGGCACAAUGGGCGAAGGCCUGAAACAGCCAGGCCGCGUGUAGGAAGAAGGCCUUCGGGUUGAAAAGUACUUUCAGCGGGGAGGCGUUACCCCCAGAAGAAGCACCGGCUAACUCCGUGCCAGCAGCCGCGGUAAUU
This 405-nucleotide ribosomal RNA is filed under the name uncultured bacterium. RNAcentral describes it as "partial 16S ribosomal RNA". It matches the Rfam family "Bacterial small subunit ribosomal RNA", at positions 29 to 525 of the family's 1533-position model. The record is from RNAcentral.